AGUUCAGAUAUGCUCCAUUAGUUUAUCCUCCAGUUUUUUCCAGUACCUUGUCAGAUCUGUGACACGUGGCAAUUAAGAAUUUCAAUGGCUGAGAUUAAAAAUUUCAACUUUUGAAAGCCACAUAGAAUCACCGUGAGAGGAAAACUGGAAACACAACAUCGUUUGAAAUGGAAAAGAUUAUUCAAAUCACUCAUGAACAUGAACCUCCUUUAUUUUUUG
Molecule: long non-coding RNA, 219 nt
Filed under: Trifolium pratense (red clover)
Lineage: Eukaryota; Viridiplantae; Streptophyta; Magnoliopsida; Fabales; Fabaceae
Description: long non-coding RNA (TPRA_LNC012359)
Source: RNAcentral